Molecule: long non-coding RNA, 1687 nt
Organism: Mobula hypostoma (lesser devil ray)
Lineage: Eukaryota; Metazoa; Chordata; Chondrichthyes; Myliobatiformes; Myliobatidae
Exons: 5
Source: RefSeq, a predicted model, not a curated record
CGCCAUUCAUACUAAUUGCCACCAUACAUAUAUGAAUGGGAACUGCAGGAAUUAUACCAAAGAUGGAUAUCCUUGCUGAAGAGACUAUUUGGGUUCUGUGGAAUGAUAGAAGAUCAGCAGGUUGAGCAGUACCUGUGGGAGAAAAGGGAUUAUUGACAUUUUGGGUUGAAACUCUGCAUGGAAACUCCAUUGUACUAUUCUGCUGCAAAGUCUCUUCAAGUCCUUGAAAAGGCAGAGGUCACCAGCAUUGAGGCUAUGCUGUUGAAGACGGAGCUGCGCUGGGCAGGGCACGUCUCCAGGAUGGAGGAUCAUUGCCUGCCCCAGAUUGUGCUGUAUGGUGAACUCUCCACUGGCCACCAUGACAGAGGGGCACCAAAGAAGAGGUACAAGGACUCUCUGAAGAAAUCCCUUGGUGCCUGUCACAUUGCCAAUUGCCAGUGGUCUAAUCUAGUCUCCAAUCGCGAGGCCUAGUGACACACCAUUCACCAGUCUGUCUCCUCCUUCGAGAACGCACGCAGGGCUGGCAAUGAGGAUAAAAGGAGAAGGAGGAAGAACCGUGACACAGCAGCACCAAACCCAGAACAGAAUUUCCCUUGCAGCCACUGUGGCCGGGCCUGCUUUUCCCGAAUUGGCCUCGUCAGCCACCAGCGAGCCUACAUCAGAUGUGGGCAGUCCCCUUCCUAAAUCUUCGUUCGCGAAGCCAAGCCAUGAUGAUGAUGAUGAAUGUCCACAAGAGAAUGAAUCUCAGGGAAUAUAUGGUCUUCUAAAGCCUUUGGUAGAAAACCAGCAGCAAAGUAAGGACUUCUAGCCAGCAUCAACAAUCGCACAGUCAUAGCAUCAGCUUCUGUACAUUGAAGCACAGAAUUGUGGAGCGUGCUGAAGGCUUGGGCACAGAAAGUUCAAGAAUGAGGCCUCCAGCUGGCUUACAACCUAAUACAGGAAAUAAUGAUGGUUUCAAGUUUUCUUUCCACAUUUUCUGCCUUUUUGUCACAUUUGGUAUGUGACGCCGAACCAAGUUAUCAGACGAUUAAUGCCGAUGAGAGAGAUAAAGGAGACUAUGGAGAAACAUUCAAAACUUUAAUGGGAGAGGAGAAGAAAGAUUAACGGAAAAGAAACACAUUUCAGAAUGUUGACAGACCGGUUGCUUUGAACCUGAACUGUUUGAAGUUUGAUGGACAGGUGAUACCCCAGCAGGGGGAUAAAAAGAACAGGUUCGCUAAGGCACGGGACACACCACGAGAUCGCGAGAUAAAAAGACCCAGGAAGAGCGGUGUGCCCCCACAAGUUGGUGGAAGUUUGGAGGUCUGGUUCGUGGGAACCGACCAUAGACUCACAGGGUGUAAAGGUACGAUUGGUGGGAACCUGGUGUGUGUGUCCGCCCUUGUCUGGGUACCGGGUUCACCGCGGAAGAACAGUCGUAUCCAGAACGGAGGGGUCACAGUCGGUGACCACAGCGGGAUAGAAGACAUAAAAGGGUCCGCCCAAAACCAACUGCGAAGAACAUCAAAGGUCUGCCUGAAUCAAAUUUGCAUCCCCCCCCUCCAAUGGCACAACAGCGAUUACUGCGAACUGUACUAAGCUGAUCUGAACUCUGUGUCACUUAAGACUGAUCAUUUUACCCCUAAACUGCGAUAGAGCUUGGUUUGAUUCCUAUUACCCUAGUUCUGUGUACACGUGUGUAUUAUCA